CACGUAAGGGGCGAGCGUUGUUCGGAAUUAUUGGGCGUAAAGGGCACGCAGGCGGUUAUACAAGUCCGAUGUUAAAGACCUGGGCUUAACUCAGGGAGUGCGUUGGAAACUGUAUGACUAGAAUCUUGGAGGGGGAGUCGGAAUUCCUAGUGUAGGGGUGAAAUCUGUUGAUAUUAGGAAGAACACCGGUGGCGAAGGCGGACUCCUGGCCGAAGAUUGACGCUGAGGUGCGAAAGCAUAGGGAGCAAACAGGAUUAGAUACCCUGGUAGUCUAUGCUGUAAACGAUGUGCACUUGGUGUUGGGCCGAUUAGGUUCAGUGCCGUAGCUAACGCGAUAAGUGCACCGCCUGGGGAGUAUGCUCGCAAGGGUG
This 371-nucleotide ribosomal RNA is filed under the name uncultured prokaryote. RNAcentral's name for it is "bacterial SSU rRNA". It matches the Rfam family "Bacterial small subunit ribosomal RNA", at positions 524 to 896 of the family's 1533-position model. The record is from RNAcentral.